RNAcentral lists this unclassified non-coding RNA (329 nucleotides) under soil metagenome. Its description in RNAcentral is "partial contains 5.8S ribosomal RNA, internal transcribed spacer 2, and large subunit ribosomal RNA". The stretch from base 1 to 120 matches the Rfam family "5.8S ribosomal RNA", at positions 35 to 154 of the family's 154-position model. The record is from RNAcentral.
GAUGAAGAACGCAGCGAAAUGCGAUAAGUAAUGUGAAUUGCAGAAUUCAGUGAAUCAUCGAAUCUUUGAACGCACAUUGCGCCCCUUGGUAUUCCGAGGGGCAUGCCUGUUCGAGCGUCAUUAUAACCCCUCAAGCUCAGCUUGGUGUUGGGGCCUGCUGCACUGGCAGCCCUUAAAAUCAGUGGCGGCGCCAUCUGGCUCUAAGCGUAGUAAUUCUUCUCGCUAUGGAGUCCUGGUGGAUGCUUGCCAUCAACCCCCAAUUUUUCUAUGGUUGACCUCGGAUCAGGUAGGGAUAUCCGCUGAACUUAAGCAUAUCAAUAAGCGGAGGA